GGACUACCGGGGUUUCUAAUCCUGUUUGCUCCCCACGCUUUCGCGUCUCAGCGUCAAUAUCGGUCCAGGUAGCCGCCUUCGCCACCGGUGUUCCUCCUAAUAUCUACGGAUUUCACUCCUGCACUAGGAAUUCCACUACCCUCUCCCGUAUUCAAGUCUCCCAGUAUCCAAUGCACUUCCCGGGUUGAGCCCGGGGCUUUCACAUCUGACUUAACAGACCGCCUACACGCGCUUUACGCCCAAUAAAUCCGAACAACGCUUGCACCCUCCGUAUUACCGCGGCUGCUGGCAC
This 292-nucleotide ribosomal RNA is filed under the name uncultured bacterium. RNAcentral describes it as "partial 16S ribosomal RNA". The record is from RNAcentral.